RNAcentral lists this ribosomal RNA (564 nucleotides) under uncultured archaeon. RNAcentral's name for it is "bacterial SSU rRNA". It matches the Rfam family "Archaeal small subunit ribosomal RNA", at positions 25 to 597 of the family's 1478-position model. The record is from RNAcentral.
CACUGCUAUCGGGGUUCGAUUAAGCCAUGCGAGUCGAGAGGGUUCAGACCCUCGGCGCACUGCUCAGUAACACGUGGAUAACCUACCCUGAGGAGGGGGAUAACCCCGGGAAACUGGGGAUAAUACCUCAUAGGUUUCAGAUGCUGGAAUGCUCUGAAACCGAAAUGCUCCGGCGCCUCAGGAUGGAUCUGCGGCCGAUUAGGUUGUUGUUGGGGUAACGGCCCAACAAGCCCGUCAUCGGUACGGGUUGUGAGAGCAAGAGCCCGGAGAUGGAUUCUGAGACACCAAUCCAGGCCCUACGGGGCGCAGCAGGCGCGAAACCUUUACAAUGCGAGCAAUCGUGAUAAGGGAACCCCGAGUGCCUGAAACCAGGCUGUUCAGGUGUUUAAAAAGCACCUGGAGAAAGGGCCGGGCAAGACCGGUGCCAGCCGCCGCGGUAAUACCGGCGGCUCGAGUGGUGGCCGCUAUUAUUGGGCUUAAAGCGUUCGUAGCUGGGUUGUUAAGUCUCUUGGGAAAUCUCACGGCUCAACCGUGAGGCGACUAAGAGAUACUGGCAAUCUUGGG